GCCCUCGUGGUGGAAUUGGCAUACACGGCAGAUUUAAAAUCUGCUGCCGAAAGGAUUGUGGGUUCGAAUCCCACCGAGGGUA
Molecule: transfer RNA, 82 nt
Filed under: Candidatus Competibacteraceae bacterium
Lineage: Bacteria; Pseudomonadati; Pseudomonadota; Gammaproteobacteria; Candidatus Competibacteraceae
Description: tRNA-Leu
Rfam family: tRNA
About the family: Transfer RNA (tRNA) molecules are approximately 80 nucleotides in length.
Source: RNAcentral